Molecule: long non-coding RNA, 322 nt
Filed under: Capsicum annuum
Lineage: Eukaryota; Viridiplantae; Streptophyta; Magnoliopsida; Solanales; Solanaceae
Description: long non-coding RNA (CANN_LNC011702)
Source: RNAcentral
CCACGUUAUAUUUUCAUUUAUGAGAUGUUCCAUAACUAUUGUCUUAGAGGCAAGUCUUGGGUCAAGGACUUUCAAACUACAAAUUAUGCCCCACGAGCAAGAGUUGACUCUACCACGUUAUGUUUUCAUUUAUGAGACGUUCUACAACUAUUGCCUUAGAGGCAAGACUUAGCUCAAGGACUUUCAAACUACAAAUUAUGCCCCACGAGCAAGAGUUGACUCUACCACGUUAUAUUUUCAUUUAUGAGAUGUUCUACAACUAUUGCCUUAGAGGCAAGCUUAGCUCAAGGACUUUCAAACAACAAGUUAUGUUUCAUGGGCA